CCGGCUGCGAGGCGCGCCGCCGCCGCCCUUUCCCGAGCCCACAGACACCCCCAGCUGCACCCCGGGCCAUUCCCUGCGCGCCCCCACCCUGCAACGCCCUCAGGAGCAAAACACGGAGGUGGACAGCACCUAAUAAAAGUUUUAAAACAGAGAAGACCUGGGAGACCAAGAUGGUCAAAAAGUAAUCAGGAGACAAAGCGCCUCUUGGAGAGUCACCAUCUAGACACUGGAAUAUAGUAAAGUGAGGAAGACAAGAAGAAGGAAAGUGAGUCAUCUGGAAACAGGAAGAAUCUGAAGCAUGAAUUUAAGCCAAUGGAGAUAUUGAAGAGAACUUCAAUAAGUAAGAAAAAGAUAGCUGGUGACAUUUCACCCUGAGACGUAACUCACUGCACAAGAGGAGUGGUUCAAGCAUGCAGACACAUGCUGAUAUGCUGGUGACCCCAGCGGCCUUCAGAGAGAGAUGCAGCAGGGGAGGGGACAGUGGACCUGAAGGACUGCACUGGCUGGCAAUGCGUGCGGAGGGCUCAGUCCUCCCACAGAAGAGAGCAAUUGGCCCAGAGCCAUCUUUGACAUGGACCAGCUGAGAUCAAUUUCGAAACUGCUGGUGUUUCUAUCUAGUGGCUUCCAGCUGGGCUAGACCCUCAGAAUAUGCUUGGACAGCAGCAUGUGGAAUGAAUCUCAUUUUAACCAGAAAGUGCAGGUUUAAUGAGAUUAUCUACUGCCUCACCAAUAAACUGCUGCUGGCUUGCUGGAAGAUUGUCAUGGAAACUUGAAAGUGGAUUUUUUUCUUUCCUCUUUCUUGUUUGUGUUUUGUUGUGGUGAGAUUGUUUCUGUUUUCUGAUUUUUGUUUUAAUUUUAUUGAAAUUAAAUUAAAUUUUAUUUUUAUUGUUUGAUCUUGUUUUUAUGAGUAGGGAUGUGUUUAUGGUUAUGGUUCUGUUCUGUUGUUUUUAACUCUUUUUUCUCAUUCUUUCCAGUAUUCUGCACCAGUUUGCCAAAGUUAGUGUGAUCCCCUUUAUCCUCCACCCUUACUUGUAAUCUCUUCCUUUUUUCCACUUCUCCAUUUUUCCUUAAUCCAUAAUAAAAAUUAACCAUGAGGACAAAAUUGACAUAUUAAGGACUUGUAUACGGCAUGUAAUUUUCUGGGUUGUUCAAAUUUUGUUAUGUAACCAAAAAAUCUAUUUUAUAUUGUUAAAAGUAGCAAAUAAUGGUUUGCUCAGUUUGUCAUUUUCUACACUGUGUGUGAUGCUAUUGGUACCAUUAUAGCCCAAAGUGACAUAAUUGUUAUAAACAACUGGUCCUCCUGGUAUUCUAUGACUUAGACUGAAUAAGUAUCAUAGAAAAUACUUUGACAGAGUGCCAAAGAAGCAACAACUUCUCAUUGCCAACAAAUUCAAGAGGUACAAUCUCUCAAUAGACUCAAAACUCCAAAACCAGCUAUACUGGAAGAUACCCCAGAAAAGUAGCCAUUUAGUAAAUGUCUUCAAUACUAGCAAUAAAGCACCAUACUGUAGAUAAUUUACAAGCAUUAUUCCAGAAAUUAAACUAAGGAAAGAAAAUAAGAAGAUACUUAAACAAGAUGCAACCACAUACAUUGAGUUCCCCAAAGACAAAGCCAGGGGCAAUGAUGUGGGAAAGUCUGAAAGCCCAUCAGUGAUCUCUCUGAAGUGGUUACAGAAGAGCAAUUGAAUUAGGCUCUGGAAAAAAAUCAAACCAGAAAUGGUUUCUCAGGUAACUGCAGAGAUGGUGUCCACAAUAAAGAUGGUGCUUAGUGAUUCUAGAAUAGAUACAGAUUAAAAAUAGAUGAGCCUAAGAAAAUUAUGGAAUUCAUGAAUGAACAGCAUAGGAAAGAAGUGAAAUUCAUAAAGUAGAUUAAAGCAUAUAUUCAGGAAAAUAAAAAUUCUAUUGAAAGUACACACAGCAAAUUAAGCCAAUGUGAGGGCAGGGUCUAAGAUAGAAGACAGGCUUGUUGUUUCAUAAAUAUCAAAUAACAACAAAGGAAGCUAGCGGCUACUAGAUGAGACAAAAAUAAUUUAAUAUUGAUUGGAGUCUACGAAAAAAGCAGGAGGUAACACAAAUAAUUUUUAAGAAACUGCUCACAGACAUCUUGGCAGAAAACUUUGUGGAUAAAGAAAAAAAUUGAACAUGCAGAUAAUUGAGAUAGUAGGAACUCCAGUUAAUUAUGAUAGAAAACAAUCUAAAGUAAGGCAUAUUAUAGUCAAGAAUCCAAAAAUUCAACACAAAAUAGAAUCUAAAAACCUGUUAGGGAUUAGAAAAAUAGCCUAUAAAGGAAAGCAUCACAAUAACAGCUGACUGCUCAACACAAACCUUCAAGUCAAGGGAAGCUUGGAGUGAAGUACAUAAAGUUCUAAAGGAAAACAACCUUCAACCCAGACUGAUAUGCCCUGAAAAACUGUCUUUCAACACUGAUGCGGAAGUAACACACUUCCUUGAUAAAGAAUAUCUGAGGAAAUUUAUAAUCACCAAAUCAGCUCUCAAAAAUAUUUUGAAAGUCAUUCUAAAAAGAAAUAAAAUGUACUACAACUCUAUGAACCCAAACUGAAUGAACCCAGCAGACAAACAGAGAGUGGGAAAAAGGGGAGCCAACAACAGGAAAAUAACAUGUUAUUAUAAGGGAUAAGUCAAUACAUAUCAGUUCUAUCCAUCAAUGUUAAUGAUCUCAAUUCACCAAUCAAAAGACACAAACUAGCAGAAUGGAUCAAGAUGCAAGAUCCAACAAUAUGAUGCAUACAAGAAACACAUUUAACUAAAACUGUAGAUUCAUAGAUGAAAUUCAAAGUAUAGAAAACAGUACGCCAUGUAACAGGAACCCAGAAAAAAGCAAAGGCACCUAUUGAGUUUUCAGACAGACAGAAUUUCAAGCCAAGACUGAUUAAGAGAGAUAAGUUCAAUAUAUCAUCAUAAAGGCAACAAUCCAAGAGGCAGAGAUAAAAAUCAUAAAUAUAUAUGCAACAAAUAUAUAACCUGUAUACACAAUAAUAUAAAAGAAAUAAUCUGAAAAAUCAAAUAAGGCUUAAUACAAUUGUGUUGGGGUAUUUCAGCAAACCACUCUCACAGAUCAAGUAGACCAGAAAAAAAUCUGAACCAAAGGUUUGAACAAAUGGACUUAGUAGAUGUCUGCAGAAUGUUCGACCUCUUAGCAUCAGAAUACAUAUUCUACUCAACUGCACAUGGGACAUUCUCCAAAAUAUACCAUAUACUUGCCCAUAGAUCAACCUUAAGUAAAUGCAAAGGAACCAAACUUAUCCCAUUCCUUGCAUAUUAUCAGACAAUAGUGUAAAGAAAUUGGAAAUCCAUGACAAAAGAAACCAUAAGAACUUCACAAACACAUGGAAAUUAACUGGUACUAAUCUGAACAACCAAGGGGUAACAGAUAAAAUUUAAAAAGGAAUUAGACAGUUUUUACAGUUGAAUGUUAACAAGAGUACAACAUAUAAGAGUUUAUGGGACAGGAUGAAAGCAGUCUUAAGAACGAAAUUUAUAGCAGUAAAUACUCAUACCAGGAAAACAGACCAAGUACACAGAAACAAUUUAAUGGUGAAACUCAAACUUCUAGAAAAAGAUCAGACUAAGCCAGAAGCUUGUAUAGGGAAGGAAAUUAUAAACAGCAGAGCAGAAAUUAUCACAUUGGAGAUUACAAAAUGAUACAAAUGACCACUGCAUCAAAGAGUUGGACACUGUGAAUUUAGGCAUGAAUGAGAACUCCACACUGUCCCCAGUCACCACAGAUUUAUAAAACCAUAAACUUCAAAUCACCAUAAGUGUUAUACAACUAAAAUUUUAACAGCUAAAAUUGUAUGGAGGGGCAUAUCCAUAAUCUGAGCAUUUGGAAGACUGAGACAAGAGGAUCACUGUAACUUCAAAGCCAAACUAAAAUACAGAAAGAUUCAACUAACAAAGAUAUUGUUACAAGCCACAAAUAAUGCCACUGUGAGCAAAAAUAGCAGCAAAAAUUAAUAUACCUAUAUAUGAAUAUAUGUGUAUUUAUACAUAUGUGUGAACAUUGACAUAUAAAUUGGAUAAUUUGGACAUACUGAUGUACAUAUCAAUUUUUGCUGAUCUACAUAAUUAUACCAUAAAAGUAUUGAAUCCAGAGAAUGAGCAACCAAAAUGUGCUGUCCCAGCAACCCCCCAUGAUGGUAAAAUACAUAAAAAAUUAGAGACAAAGUUUAAUGAAAGAUACUUUAUUUUUGAAGAGGGAAUGAGUAGAUGGAGAAGACAGAUAAGUACUUUGAUAAGAAACAUUCAGAGCGGGGGCUCCAAAAAAUGGGGGAAUCAUCACUCCUUUGUUCCUGGAUGCUUGUAUUGGGUGGAGACACCACCAUACACAGAAAUUCCUAUACCUGGAUAGGCUUCUGGACACCUCUGCAUAAUGGCACUUUUCAUCUUCUUUGUUUCUACUUGAUUGUCUCUGACCUUUAGGACUUUAUUUUUGGAGUGGACCACUAUUUGACAAAGAGAUACCUUAUUCAUCAUUAACAUACAAUUAGUAAGAGGGAGUAUGGAUGUCUAUUGUAGUCUAUAAUGAUGAAAUUUAUAUAGUGACCUAGACUGGAUAUGAAUAUAGUGAUCCUAGAGUGAAUGCAUAUGUAUAUGGAAAGUGUGAAUAUAUUUUGUCUUAAACUUACUCACUGCCCCUCCCCCAUUUGCUUCACCUAUAUUCUAUUGGAGAGAGGGGCAGCUUACCAUUUGUGUACUUGGCUUUCUCUCUGUGUCCUGCCUGUCAGCUCUUUCUCCACUUCCUUGGUGCAAGUCCUAAGGACAUUUGGUGUCUUUUUUUAAUCCUUUUUUUCUCUCUUACUCUACCUUUUAUCUACAAAUUACCCAGGGGAAUUUGAGAUUUUAUGGAUAAAUCAAUGCAACUUGAGACCAUAUUCAUAAGGAAAAUAAGUCAGACUUUCUGUGUAAGCAUCAUAUUGUCUCACUAGUAUGAAAUACUGAAAGAGUAAAUGCCUGAUAGAUACUGUGAAAGUGAAAUGGGAAGAAACUGCUGAAAAAUGAAGAGUGUGGGCUUUCAUUGUUUAUCAUUUUUUUAUGCCCCAGUCUUGUAAUCUGAGCAACUACUUUAAUGAUAAAUACAUAUAUGUAUUAGCCACUGUUAAUCUCUGAUUAUUUUCAUUUGAAAUACUGUAUCAUCAUUUUUAUUCUUUUUUCAUUUUUAAAAAGAUUAGUUAGAAGACAUAAUGAAGUACCUAUUCUAUUUAUCUACAGAACUGUGACCCUACAGAACACUGUGACCUAGAUCUAGAAAUAAUGACAAUCUAAUGUGUUAUUAAAUUGGGAUAUGAAUGAAUCUAAAGUCUGUAUAUGAAGAAACAUGUUAGAGCAAAGUUUAGUAAGGCAGAGGAAUCAAAGUAUAAGCAGAAUGGAGGAUAUAUUAGCUAGAAUUCUGUACAAAAAAGUAAUUUUUAAGGUGAGGGAAUCAGUGGUAUCACAAGAAAAAAUGUGGAAUUUCACUAUGGUAGUAUAAAUGGCCUCAAUAUUUGGCUUUAUGUCUAAUAUUAGUCGUGAGAGAAAAAUGGCAAAAGGAAACCUGUAGCAUGAUCACACAUUAUACUUAGAGAAUCUGAAGAGCAAGGAAACCCAACAUUCAAAGUUUUUUUGUUUUUCCCAGCCCCAAGCUGGAUAGUACUUCAUUACAUCAGAGUUAACAAUUUGUACUUUGGUAAAAUCAAUUUAAAGCCCCUCAUGUGAACAAUAAUGUUUGGAUGUUAAUCUUUUUAGUUUUGUUUACACUUAGGGAAGAUGAAAAUUUCCUACGCUGCUCCUGAUUCCAAUGUUCAUCCAUUAUUUAACUUCAUCACUAGUUUUCUGAAUUAGCGAGGCUUUUUACAUUGCACAGAACAAAUCAAGACAGCUUUAAAGAAGGUGAAUACAAAUCAGGGACAAAAAAAGCUAGCACAUCUCUUUUCUUUACUUGAACACCAAUUUAAAAACAACUUUUACUCUAAGCCUUGACCUCAAUGUUUUAGUAACCAUCUUAUUCUUGAGUAUUCAAAGCUUAGAUGAUAUUUCUCUAACACAUACGAGUUGAAUAAUUCCAAGAUAUGAAACUCACCAUUUCCUCUCUCCAAAAAAGUAGAAUGAAAGAACUGUUUAUGACCAGCAGUAAUACAGUGCUUUUUUUUUUUUUACUCAAAAACAAAUUUGCAGCCACAGAAACAUAAAUGUGAUAUGAGUCCAAACAACACAGUGUUAUUAUUUGGAUAAAUUUGCCAUACUCAUGUCAUUUGGAACAAUGUAGUUUAUUGAUCAAUAUAUAAAUAAUGCAAGAACACAAACUGUAAAGUGUUUUACUUCUUUUCAGCUUUAAAGUUUCUUGUAUGACAUAAUAUAUUAAAACUGUUUAUGAGUGAAUGAUGCAAAUGUUUUCAGAACAUACUAAGACACACACACUUAAGUCAUUAAUAUUAUAGAACUAUAACCACAAAAAUCUGUGAAAAAUACUGAAAAUGUGCAUUUUUAUGUUUUAUUUUAGAUAAAAGAGAGUAGAUAUUAAUAUGAGACCUAAGCAUUUCUCUUGAACAUUUUUCUCAGUGAAUCUAUGAGUGGUCUAUUUCUCAAACUGUAAUAAAAUGGAUUUAAUGCAGAAUUUCUGAUGUUGAAAAACAGACAAAGAUCAUAUCCUGAUCAUCUACUUGUGAAGAUGCUGUGCACAUACAUGAAGAGAAGGGGGCCAUAGUAUAAAGACACAGACAAGAGAUGAGUUCUGCAGGUGGCGAAGGGUUUCCUUAUGCCUUUGAGAGACUUCUUGUUUAAAACAGUGAAUAGAAUAAGUGUAUAAGAAAUAAGAACAAUCAAAAUUCUGAGUACCUGAAAUGAAUCAAAGAAAAUAAAAACCAGUAGAUAAUUAAGAGCAGGAUCUGUACAAUAAAUCUUAAACAAUGGUAUAACCUAACAAUAAAAGUCAUGUAUGAGGUGGGAAUUACAGAAUGUUAAUCUGAAUAAAAAAACUAUUAUGAAUUAAGGCAUUAAGAAGCCACCUACAAAUGAUAAAACUAAUAGAUUGAUGCAUAAUCUAUUGGUCACAAUGAAUGGGUAAAGCAAAGGAUUGUAUGCAAUUACAUAGUGAUCAUAAACCACUGCCGCUAGGAGAAAACAUUCUGUGGUUGCACUAACUAUAAAGGAGAGAGAUUGUAUGUUUGAAUGUCCACUUUAUAUGCUUUAAUUUUGCAAUGUGAACAAAUAUUUCUAAGAUGACAAUAUGUAAUCCAUUAACUAGUGAUAUCCUACUGUUUAUUUUUUUCUGAAAUUCUGUAAACUUGUACCCUUUUUCUGCUUUUUUUUUCUUUUUCUCCUUAAAUAAAAUUAAAAAAAAAACUUUUCCCUACACAAUCCUUUUUGUCAUUCCCAGGCGCAUUCCCUCGAGAAAUGACAGUAUUAAAAGGUCUUCAGCUCCUUUGGUAAAUGUUCUGUCCUUUUAUAUGUGGUUCAUUUCUAUGCUUAGGAUGUGCUGAAAUAUAUUUCUGAUUCUGAUUAUAGGCUGGAAUGAUACUGAAGUAGUCUUGUGAAAAUAUACAUCAUACAAUUCAUCUGUCUCAAGGGAAGUCAUUAUACAGUCUCCCAGAAAUAAGAAACUCAUCUCACCCUGAAAUAUGAAUGUGGCACAAAUGCUAGUCUUGAGGGUUCAGGCACCUUGCAGAAGGAUCAGGAGGGGGAUUAUAAUUAUCAGGUUAUCUAUAGACAUUUACCCAGUCUGGGUACAGUGUGGCUAGUGUCCUCAAAAAAGACAUGCCUAUCUAGAACUUCAGAAUGUGUUUUUCCUUAUUUGAAAUUAGUAUUUGUGCAGAUAAAAUUAUGAAACUUGAGAUUAAAUCAUCCUGGAUUUAUUAGGCUUAUUUAAGUCCAAUGACUACUGUUCUUAUAUGAAGAAGAAAGGACACAGAGAAGAUAUAAAAGUGGAGAUUGAAGUUAAAGUGUACCAAGACAUAUAAUAUCUGAGUUGAAAGAGGCAAGAGAAGAUUGUCCAAGUCUUCAGAGGGAGCAUGGUCUAAACAACAACUUGAUUACAAACUUCUGGUUUCCAGAAUUAUGAAGUUAAAUUUUUAUUGUUUUAAGUCACCCAGUUUCUGGGAAUUUGUUAUGGCACCCUAAAAAAUAUACCAGAUAUUAUGGUCAUAUUCUUCAUUAGGGCUCUGACUAUAACAAUGAUGCUUAUAAAAGCCUAUGUAUUUGGACUCUAUAAAUAGAUACUGGACCUAGAGCUAAAGGAAAUAAUAGGUACUUUAGAGCUAUCUCACAGGGCUUUAGGGUGAGAUAAAUCAGUAAUUAACUUCUAGUAUGACUUCAACAGAAUAAAGAACUUCUAACAAUGCCAACAGUCUAAUCCUCAGAAUAUUCAAAUAUAAUCCAAAUGGGCUGUAGGUGUAGAGUGUGUGCUUAUUAUGAAAACAGCUCUAGAUUUGAUCCUUAGCACCAUACAUACAAAAAUUUCUUUAUAUGACAAUGAUAUUUCAAAUAUAUUUAAGGAUUAGAGGUUGAUGUCUUUACAUUAGGAUUAUCCUGGCUUACCCAAGUGGAUAAAAACUAAUCACCUGAGUCCUUCAGAGUGGAGAAUGUUUCCCACACGUUGUCAGACAGGAUGCAGUAAUGGACAGAAAAUCAGAAAGAAGCUACACUGUUGGCUUUCAAGCUGGAGAAAGUGAGCUAUAACCCAAGGAAAUGUGUGCAGAUUCUGAAAAGGCAGGAAAUCAGAUUCUUUUCUGGAGUACCUAAAGAAAUACUAAAUUCCCAAUACCUUGUGAUUAUAGUCCAGUGAGACCUGUGUUGAACUUCUGGCCUACAAAAUUGUAAUGUAAAAAAUUACUGUUUUCAGCAAUGACAUUGUAAUCAUUUAUAUCAGUAAUAAAAAAUGCAAAUACCAUCAAAUGAA
This is a long non-coding RNA of Cavia porcellus (domestic guinea pig), 8890 nucleotides long. RefSeq lists it as uncharacterized. The record is from RefSeq and is a predicted model, not a curated record. Lineage: Eukaryota; Metazoa; Chordata; Mammalia; Rodentia; Caviidae. The transcript is spliced from 2 exons.